CAUACACUCGCUAACAGAAACACACACAUUAACAGACACACUCACUAACAGACACACACUCACUAACACACACACUCACAGGCAAACACACUCACACAGUCAGACACACACACACAGUCAGACACACACACACUCACUGACACACUAACAGACAAACAUAGUCAGACACACACACUAACAGACUCACUCACUAGCAGACACACUAACAAACACACACACA
This is a non-coding RNA of Pelobates cultripes (western spadefoot toad), 220 nucleotides long. Lineage: Eukaryota; Metazoa; Chordata; Amphibia; Anura; Pelobatidae. The record is from the annotation of a GenBank genome assembly.